This 477-nucleotide ribosomal RNA is filed under the name uncultured bacterium. RNAcentral's name for it is "bacterial SSU rRNA". It matches the Rfam family "Bacterial small subunit ribosomal RNA", at positions 30 to 507 of the family's 1533-position model. The record is from RNAcentral.
AUUGAACGCUGGCGGCAUGCCUUACACAUGCAAGUCGAACGGUAACAGGUUAAGCUGACGAGUGGCGAACGGGUGAGUAAUGUAUCGGAACGUGCCUAGUCGUGGGGGAUAACGUAGCGAAAGCUACGCUAAUACCGCAUACGAUCCAUGGAUGAAAGCAGGGGACCUUCGGGCCUCGCGCGAUUAGAGCGGCCGAUAUCAGAUUAGGUAGUUGGUGGGGUAAAGGCCCACCAAGCCGACGAUCUGUAGCUGGUCUGAGAGGACGACCAGCCACACUGGGACUGAGACACGGCCCAGACUCCUACGGGAGGCAGCAGUGGGGAAUUUUGGACAAUGGGCGCAAGCCUGAUCCAGCAAUGCCGCGUGCAGGAUGAAGGCCUUCGGGUUGUAAACUGCUUUUGUACGGAGCGAAAAGGCUCUCUCUAAUACAGGGGGCUCAUGACGGUACCGUAAGAAUAAGCACCGGCUGACUACGUG